RNAcentral lists this small nucleolar RNA (137 nucleotides) under Myotis brandtii (Brandt's bat). RNAcentral's name for it is "Small nucleolar RNA SNORA43". It matches the Rfam family "Small nucleolar RNA SNORA43". Rfam says of the family: ACA43 is a member of the H/ACA class of snoRNA that guide the sites of modification of uridines to pseudouridines. The record is from Rfam by way of RNAcentral. Lineage: Eukaryota; Metazoa; Chordata; Mammalia; Chiroptera; Vespertilionidae.
CGGGUGCUGGACCUGCAGCACCACGGACGCGGCUGCCUUGCUGCACCUGUGACGCCAGGGCACAGAGGAAGUGGCUAUUUGUACGCUCAGUGCUCAGAACAGUGGGCACUAAGAAAAUGGUUUGUAGCCUGACAUUC